Molecule: ribosomal RNA, 515 nt
Filed under: uncultured bacterium
Lineage: Bacteria
Description: bacterial SSU rRNA
Rfam family: Bacterial small subunit ribosomal RNA
Source: RNAcentral
GAUGAACGCUAGCGGCAGGCUUAACACAUGCAAGUCGAGGGGCAGCAUAGGGUAGCAAUACUCUGAUGGCGACCGGCAAACGGGUGAGUAACGCGUAUGCAACCUACCCUGUACAGGGGGAUAACCCGGAGAAAUUCGGACUAAUAUCCCGUAAUAAUAUCCGGAGGCAUCUUUGGAUAUUUAAAGUUCCGACGGUACGGGAUGGGCAUGCGUAACAUUAGCUGGUUGGUAAGGUAACGGCUUACCAAGGCUAUGAUGUUUAGGGGUCCUGAGAGGGUGGUCCCCCACACUGGUACUGAGACACGGACCAGACUCCUACGGGAGGCAGCAGUGAGGAAUAUUGGUCAAUGGGCGCAAGCCUGAACCAGCCAUCCCGCGUGCAGGAAGACGGCCCUAUGGGUUGUAAACUGCUUUUCCAGGGAGAGAAACUUACGCACGUGUUGCGUGACUGACGGUACCCUGGGAAUAAGCAUCGGCUAACUCCGUGCCAGCAGCCGACGGUAAAACGUAGCGUG